UGGGAACGUGCCUUUUGGUUCGGAACAACCCAGGGAAACUUGGGCUAAUACCGGAUAAGCCCUUACGGGGAAAGAUUAUCGCCAAAAGAUCGGCCCGCGUCUGAUUAGCUAGUUGGUGGGGUAAUGGCCCACCAAGGCAUUGAUCGGUAGCCGGCCUGAGAGGGCACACGGCCACACUGGCACUGAAACACGGGCCAGACUCCUACGGGAGGCAG
Molecule: ribosomal RNA, 215 nt
Filed under: uncultured bacterium
Lineage: Bacteria
Description: partial 16S ribosomal RNA
Rfam family: Bacterial small subunit ribosomal RNA
Source: RNAcentral